This 1064-nucleotide long non-coding RNA is filed under the name Capra hircus (goat). RNAcentral describes it as "lncRNA (ENSCHIG00010019772.1)". The record is from RNAcentral. Lineage: Eukaryota; Metazoa; Chordata; Mammalia; Artiodactyla; Bovidae.
GGUCGCACAGAGUCGGACACGACUGAAGCGACUCAGCAGCAGCAGCAUAUCUGUAUAACCACCAUCACAAUCAACAUACAGAACAGUUUCACCAUCACGAAGAUCCCUAACACUGCCACCUUUUUUAAUAUACACCCACCUCAUUCCCCUCCACCCACUCCCACUCAUACGCUGGCUGGUGGGAAUGUAAAGCUAUGACGUAAUUUUACAUAAUUAUGUAAAUGACACGAUUUACAUUAUAUGAUAUUUUUGUCAUAUUCAGAUUUCACCAGUCUGUGUGUACACAGUUAUAUGUCAUUUUAUCAUCAGGGUCUAUCAGUAUAACCACCAUCACAAUCAAGAUAGAGAACAGCUUCAUUAUCACAAAGAUCCCUGACAUUGCCACCUUCUGCAUACACACCCGCCUCGUUCCCCUCCAUCCAUUCCCAUGCACACCACGGCUGGUGGGCGUGUGAAAGGACAUAAUUAUGCCAGAAAAGUUUAGAAGUUUCUUUAAUGACUAAAAUGCAACAAUCAUACAACUCAGCAACUGAACUUAUGGGUAUUUAUCCCAGAAAAAUAAAAACUUAUGUGCCCACAACAACCUGUACAUGAAUGUUUAUAGCAGCUUUGUGUUUGACAGAUGAUGACUGGAAACAACUCAAGAUGUCCUUUAAUGGGUGAAUGGUUAAACUGGUAUACCCAUACCACAGAGUACUACUCAGCAAUAAAAAAGGAAUAUAUUCAACAACUGCAAAGAGUCUUAAGAGAAUUAAGCUGAGUGAAACAAUGCCAAUGUUGAGGUUAUAUACUAUGUGAUUUCAUUUAUAUAACAUUCUUGAAAUGGCAAAAACAUAGAAAUAAAGCCAGACUGGUGGUUGCCAGGGGUUAAGGAGGGAGUGAAGGUGGCUGGGAAGUGGUGUGAUUGUAAAAGGGCUACAUGAGGAAGCCUGCUGUGAUGGACCUUGAUUGUAUCAACGUCAAUAUCCUGGCUAUGAUUCUGGACCAUAGUUUUACAAGAUGCUACACUAGAGUAAUCUGGGUAAAACAAUCUCCUCAGAGGUUUUUCAUCAAAUCAACUUCUA